This 274-nucleotide ribosomal RNA is filed under the name uncultured bacterium. RNAcentral's name for it is "partial 16S ribosomal RNA". It matches the Rfam family "Bacterial small subunit ribosomal RNA", at positions 523 to 796 of the family's 1533-position model. The record is from RNAcentral.
AUACGGAGGGUGCAAGCGUUACUCGGAAUCACUGGGCGUAAAGCGCGCGCAGGCGGCCAUUUAAGUUGGAUGUGAAAGCCUACGGCUCAACCGUAGAACUGCAUCCAAAACUAUUUGGCUCGAGUGUGGGAGAGGAAGAUGGAAUUAGUUGUGUAGGGGUAAAAUCCGUAGAGAUAACUAGGAAUACCAAAAGCGAAGGCAAUCUUCUGGAACAUUACUGACGCUGAGGCGCGAAAGCGUGGGGAGCAAACAGGAUUAGAAACCCUUGUAGUCC